This is a long non-coding RNA of Astatotilapia calliptera (eastern happy), 1930 nucleotides long. The record is from Ensembl. Lineage: Eukaryota; Metazoa; Chordata; Actinopteri; Cichliformes; Cichlidae.
GAUGACUGUGAUAAGCUAGACUUUGCAGCUGCCAGGGCUCAGAACAAAGAAGGUCUGGACCAGUUUGUCCAGGACCGCACCGUCAUUGCUGCCCUCAAUGACCGCCUGGUCAGGCUGAUUGAGCUGGCUCGUUGUUUUGAGGACGACAAUGAGUCUCUUGAAUGUCAGAUCACUGAGUUGGAGGAAGAGCUGAACAAUCGCCAGGCCUCUUCCAGCAUCACCUCCACUGUGGCGGUGCCCGACCACAGCCUGGACACUGUGGUGGAAAGACUGGGCAAGCAGAGGGAUGAGAUUCUGAAUGACACACAGGAGCUGCAGAAAGAGCUCAAGCUCCUGAAGAAAGACUAUGAGAAGGCGUCGCAGCAGAGGAUCUUCGUCCGGCAGGAACAACAAGAUGUGGCUGAGGAAGUGGAUGCUGUGACAGCAGAGUGUUUGGCUCUGAGGGAGCAAGUGACUAUCUACGAGGAGCAGCUGGCCAGCAUGGAGACCCUGCACAGGACGACAGUGGAGGAUAUGCUGGAGCCCAACGAAGGGAUCACCCGGGCAGCAGUGAUUAAAUUUGGCAGCCCUGACAUUGCUCUGGCUUUGGAUGUAAAAAAGUACUACUGCCAACUGGCUGAGACACUCCAGUAUGAGUGCGGUGCAGCCUCCUCUGCUGUGGUCCACAGUGGUGACGGAAAGGAAGUGGAAGUGGGAGGAACUGGAGGGUCAACGGUCAAAGACUUGACAAAGAUAAAGGACGCCGGUGAGAUAAAGAUGCUGAUUUCAGAGCUACAAAAGGAGCUUGCUGAGCUCGAGAAGCAUAACGAGGAAUUGGAGGACGAGGUUGAAAUGAAGAAGGCUGCAUACAUGGAUGAGAUUGCUGAUCUAGAGGCGACUAUAGAUGAAAUGAAGUGUCAGAAGGCCAAUUUCCAAGAACAGAUGAAGGAGCAGUGUGAAGACUAUAAGUUUCUGCUCACUCAGAAGAUGGCCAGAGACAUGGAGAUUGCUGCUUACAGGAGUCUAGUGGAGGAAGAGGAGGAGAGACUGUGCAGCCUGUGACUUAAGCCUGAGCAGUCAGAUCUGCUGUCCUGACUGUGGUUGUGCUCCCCAACACAGACAAAAGACAAACGCGUAAAAACAGACCCCAUUUCUGCACUUCGAUGAAGCUUAACGCAACGAUUCGGCAAUUUGAGCAGACGUAAACUUAGUAUGACAGAUUAAUGCUGUCUGGAGGCCUACAGUAAGCCGGGCCAUUGAUUACAGGUUUCUGGCAGAUGACCCUGAUACUCCAAGAAAGAUGGAGCUGUCUAAAACUGGUGGGGGCUGUGGGAUGAGUGUGUAUCCGUGCAGCGUCUGGAAGGGAUAUUUCGUUAAGUGAGGUUUUAUCUUUACCAGCUCUCUGAUAUGACUCAUAAAUGCUUUGUCCCCUCUUUGUUGAACAAGACUGACACGCAAUCGCAGAUAAACACACACACACACACACGCACACACCCUCAACUGUGCGGCUCCGCGGAGUCAUUCCCGCUCUGAUAUCACCUCGUCCAUCACUCAGCCUCUGUCUGGCUCUUAACCUGCGACCCCGUCACUGUUAACAAAGACAAUGACGGCUCUCUCUUUGGUAACUAAAAGCGUUUCGCCUUCCCUUUGCUUUUUCAGCCAUACAUUUGAGUUGGUUUUGACGGCCGAGAGUCCAGCGUGCUGUGUUUGCUUUUCAAAUGGUUCAUGAAGUUGUUUUUCUGCAGCUCUUUCAAAAUGAGCACCUGGAUCUUUCCACAAGAAAAACUCUGUGUGAUUAAUCAUUGCUUCUUUCAAAAGCAGUGUCCCAAUUUACUGUCGUUUCGGAAAUAAGCAUUCGGUAAUACAUUCCCUAGUAAUCUUUUCCUUAUUUUCUACAUAAUGUUAAAGCCGUCUGCGAUAAAUCAUUUUUGGUUGCUGCCUCUGCACAAGC